GGGGAAUUUUCCGCAAUGGGCGAAAGCCUGACGGAGCAAUGCCGCGUGGAGGAGGAAGGCCUGAGGGUUGUAAACUCCUUUUCUCAGAGAAGAUGAGAUGACGGUAUCUGAGGAAUAAGCAUCGGCUAACUCUGUGCCAGCAGCCGCGGUAAGACAGAGGAUGCAAGCGUUAUCCGGAAUGAUUGGGCGUAAAGCGUCUGUAGGUGGCUUUUCAAGUCUGCUGUCAAAGACUGGGGCUCAACCCUGGAAAGGCAGUGGAAACUGAGCAGCUAGAGUGUGGUGGGGGUAGAGGGAAUUCCCAGUGUAGCGGUGAAAUGCGUAGAGAUUGGGAAGAACACCGGUGGCGAAAGCGCUCUGCUAGACCACAACUGACACUCAGGGACGAAAGCUAGGGGAGCGAAUGGGAUUAGAUACCCCAGUAGUC
RNAcentral lists this ribosomal RNA (424 nucleotides) under uncultured cyanobacterium. RNAcentral describes it as "bacterial SSU rRNA". It matches the Rfam family "Bacterial small subunit ribosomal RNA", at positions 356 to 795 of the family's 1533-position model. Lineage: Bacteria; Bacillati; Cyanobacteriota. The record is from RNAcentral.